CCUACGGGAGGCAGCAGUGAGGAAUAUUGGUCAAUGGGCGCGAGCCUGAACCAGCCAAGUAGCGUGAAGGAUGAAUGCCCUACGGGUUGUAAACUUCUUUUAUCAAGGAACAAAGUGAGGCACGUGUGCCUGUUUGGAUGUAUUUUGAGAAAAAGGAUCGGCUAACUCCGUGCCAGCAGCCGCGGUAAUACGGAGGAUUCGAGCGUUAUCCCGGUUUAUUGGGUUUAAAGGGAGCGUAGAUGGGGUGUUAAGUCAGGUGUGAAAGUUUGGGGGUCAAACGUAGAAUAGCAGUUGAAACUGGCAGCCUUGAGUACACGUGAGGUAGGCAGAAUGCGUGGUGUAGCGGUGAAAUGCUUAGAUAUCACGCAGAACUCCGAUUGCGAAGGCAGCAUAC
RNAcentral lists this ribosomal RNA (394 nucleotides) under uncultured bacterium. RNAcentral describes it as "partial 16S ribosomal RNA". It matches the Rfam family "Bacterial small subunit ribosomal RNA", at positions 338 to 729 of the family's 1533-position model. The record is from RNAcentral.